UACGUAGGGGGCGAGCGUUAUCCGGAAUUAUUGGGCGUAAAGAGCUCGUAGGCGGUUUGUCGCGUCUGCCGUGAAAAUCCGGGGCUCAACCCCGGACUUGCAGUGGGUACGGGCAGACUAGAGUGUGGUAGGGGAGACUGGAAUUCCUGGUGUAGCGGUGGAAUGCGCAGAUAUCAGGAGGAACACCGAUGGCGAAGGCAGGUCUCUGGGCCACUACUGACGCUGAGAAGCGAAAGCAUGGGGAGCGAACAGG
This 253-nucleotide ribosomal RNA is filed under the name uncultured bacterium. RNAcentral describes it as "partial 16S ribosomal RNA". It matches the Rfam family "Bacterial small subunit ribosomal RNA", at positions 524 to 776 of the family's 1533-position model. The record is from RNAcentral.